This 268-nucleotide ribosomal RNA is filed under the name uncultured bacterium. RNAcentral describes it as "partial 16S ribosomal RNA". It matches the Rfam family "Bacterial small subunit ribosomal RNA", at positions 793 to 1055 of the family's 1533-position model. The record is from RNAcentral.
GUCCACGCUGUAAACGAUGAACACUAGAUAUUGGAGGAUUUGACCCCUUCAGUGUCGCAGCUAACGCGUUAAGUGUUCCGCCUGGGAAGUACGGUCGCAAGACUAAAAACUCAAAGGAAUUGACGGGGGCCCGCACAAGCGGUGGAUUAUGUGGUUUAAUUCGAAGCAACGCGCAGAACCUUACCAAGGCUUGAAAUCCUACGAAUCCCUUUUAAAACGAGGGAGUGCUCUUCGGAGAAUGUAGUGACAGGCGCUGCAUGGCUGUCGU